This 497-nucleotide ribosomal RNA is filed under the name uncultured bacterium. Its description in RNAcentral is "partial 16S ribosomal RNA". It matches the Rfam family "Bacterial small subunit ribosomal RNA", at positions 28 to 507 of the family's 1533-position model. The record is from RNAcentral.
GAUGAACGCUGGCGGCGUGCCUAAUACAUGCAAGUCGAGCGAACAGACGAGGAGUUUGCUCCUCUGACGUUAGCGGCGGACGGGUGAGUAACACGUGUAUAACCUACCUAUAAGACUGGGAUAACUUCGGGAAACCGGAGCUAAUAUCGGAUAAUAUAUUGAACGGCAUGGUUCAAUAGUGAAAGACGGUUUUGCUGUCACUUAUAGAUGGAUCCGCGCCGCAUUAGCUAGUUGGUAAGGUAACGGCUUACCAAGGCAACGAUGCGUAGCCGACCUGAGAGGGUGAUCGGCCACACUGGAACUGAGACACGGUCCAGACUCCUACGGGAGGCAGCAGUAGGGAAUCUUCCGCAAUGGGCGAAAGCCUGACGGAGCAACGCCGCGUGAGUGAUGAAGGUCUUCGGAUCGUAAAACUCUGUUAUUAGGGAAGAACAAAUGUGUAAGUAACUAUGCACGUCUUGACGGUACCUAAACAGAAAGCCACGGCUAACUACGUG